UUUGUGCUCCUUAUGUAAAAAUCAAAACUUUUGCAUUCCAUGUCGCGAAAUUUGAGUUUUUUUGUAGUUUCAUUGAUUUAAUAUCACAUCUUUCAGCCUGCCUCUUUGUAAAAAUUGAAACUUUUGUAUGACUUGAGUUGGUAGAUAUCAAAAUUUUUGUUCUGCUUAUGUAAAAAUCAAAACUUUUGCAUUCCAUGUCGCGAAAUUUGAGUUUUUUGUUGUUUAAUUGAUUUAAUAUCACAUCUUUCCGCCUGCCUUUUUCUAAAAUUGAAACUUUUGUAUGACUUGAGUUGGUAGAUAUCAAUUUUUUGUGCUCCUUAUGUAAAAUCAAAACUUUUAUGUGCUUCGAUUUGAGUUUGAAUCUUUCUUAAUUUAUUGCUUUAAAUUUGUAUCUUUCUCACUGUCUCCCUUUAUGAAUAUAACAUUUGGUAUGCUUUGAUGUUGUUGAAAUUGAAUCUUUGGUUUCCUUGAUGUAAAAAUUGAAUCUUUUAUUUAUAUUGUAGUAGAUAACUCAUUUCUAAAUUCUAAAAACAAGAAAAACAAGAAAAUGCUAAAAAAUCAAAAUUUACAUAAUUAAAAGUGAAAUUUAUAAUAGGGGGUGUAUUUAAUUGAUGAAUUAGGGGUAGGUUAGGGUUUUGAGGUAAAGAUAAAAAAGACAGUGCAUUGAUGAACAGGGUCUUAUUGGGUUUGUUGUGAAAAAGAAAUGACGGAUUAUAAAAUUUUAAAGACGGGCGCUGACGAACGGUAAAAUUAGAGUUUCGAGGUUAAGAGAGAGAUAAAAGACUGUAUCUUUGAAGUGAAUUGAUAUCAAAGCUAUGAAAUUUAUAAAAGGGGGUCGGUUUAGUGUUUGAAUUGAUAAACUAGUUUUGGAUAAUUUUUUUUUGUUAAAGUAUGUUAUGUAGUCAGGUGAAUUGAGUUUAGUGAUUUUUUUACGAAGAUCACCUACAAAACCAUAUGAAUAAAAUCCUGACAAAUCAGUUCCUUGUAUAAACCACUGCAACAUAUAAAUUCACGUCAUCAUCCUCAAUCUCUAUAUAUGUACACACGUCAAAUAUGCAUAUAUAUGUUAUUAUUCAUUAGUUUUUCUUUCAGAUGGGAAGAAAAAUUGGAUUUUUGAAUUGUGGAUUGGGUUUAGGGUAUUUAAGCGUAAUUAAGGCUUGUUGUGCUUCCAAUUUCUCGCAGCUAUGCAGUAAAGUGAACCAAAGAAAAGGAACUCCGUUGAGUAGGAUCUGCAAUCUAAAGGAUGACGGAAUAGGAGGAUUUAAAUUUAAUCCAUUAAUUUCAAGGACGAAUUACGCGAAAACAGGGAUGGAGAUUGGGAUACACAAGUCAAAUGUGGGAGAGCUUACAAACAUCAAACAAGGAACUAUUGUUAACUUACCAGGUGAAAACAAGGGCUAUCUUGUUAAUUACAGUUAUGACCAGAAGGUAUGUUCCACUGUUUGUUAAAUUU
Molecule: long non-coding RNA, 1453 nt
Organism: Daucus carota subsp. sativus
Lineage: Eukaryota; Viridiplantae; Streptophyta; Magnoliopsida; Apiales; Apiaceae
Exons: 3
Source: RefSeq, a predicted model, not a curated record